UUUAUCACAUAUAUUUAAUGCAUCGCAUUUUAUUAAUGGAAUGGAACAAACAAUAAAAUAAUUCAUUAUAAUAUUAAAUUGACAAUUGCAAACAUGACUACAGUGUAUUUACAGAAACUUAAACUAGUAAACGGACACAUUAUUUAUGUUUAUGGUAAAUAACUAUUUAUACACAUUUGAUCACUUCAAUGUUGUUUUUGACUUACUAUGAAUAUUAUUCUGAUAGCAUCAUAUAUGGUACCAAAAGUGUUGUAUGGUACAUUACACAGAUAUUUUAUGUAAUGCCAAACUAUCCAACUAGACAUCAAUGCGAGAUAUAAAUACUAAGAAUUAGUGCUACCUAUUGUUUGUUA
This is a long non-coding RNA of Nymphalis io (European peacock), 353 nucleotides long. RefSeq lists it as uncharacterized. The transcript has 2 exons. The record is from RefSeq and is a predicted model, not a curated record. Lineage: Eukaryota; Metazoa; Arthropoda; Insecta; Lepidoptera; Nymphalidae.